Molecule: ribosomal RNA, 484 nt
Filed under: uncultured bacterium
Lineage: Bacteria
Description: partial 16S ribosomal RNA
Rfam family: Bacterial small subunit ribosomal RNA
Source: RNAcentral
AGUGAACGCUGGCGGCGUGCUUAACACAUGCAAGUCGAACGAGAACGGGUUAUAGCUUGCUAUAAUUGUCAGCUAAGUGGCGCACGGGUGAGUAAUGUAUAGGUAAUAUGCCUCUUACUAAGGGAUAACAAAUGGAAACGUUUGCUAAUACCUUAUACUCCUUAUUAACAGAAGUUAAUAAGGGAAAGAUUUAUUGGUAAGAGAUUAGCCUGUAUUGUAUCAGUUAGUUGGUGGGGUAAUGGCUUACCAAGACUAUGACACAUAACUGGUUUGAGAGGAUGGUCAGUCACACUGGAACUGAGACACGGUCCAGACUCCUACGGGAGGCAGCAGUGGGGAAUAUUGCACAAUGGACGAAAGUCUGAUGCAGCAACGCCGCGUGGAGGAUGACACAUUUCGGUGCGUAAACCCCUUUUAUAUGAGAAGAUAAUGACGGUAUUAUAUGAAUAAGCACCGGCUAACUCCGUGCCAGCCGCCGCGGUAA